UGAAUACGAGACGCUAAGGCGUUGAAGUAGUGUAUGUCAUACUUCCAAGAAAAGCUUGCACUGUCAUAGAUAAAAAACGCCUGUACCAUAACCGACACAGGUGGGUAGGUAGAGUAUACUAAGGGGCGCGAGAUAACUCUCUCUAAGGAACUCGGCAAAAUAACUCCGUAACUUCGGGAGAAGGAGUGCCUUAUUUAUAAGGCUGCAAUAACAAGAUCCAAGCAACUGUUUAUCAAAAACACAGGUCUCCGCUAAGUCGUAAGACGAUGUAUGGGGGCUGACGCCUGCCCAGUGCCAGAAGGUUAAAGAAGUUGGUUAGCAAUAGCGAAGCUGAUAACUGAAGCCCUGGUGAACGGCGGCCGUAACGAUAACGGUCCUAAGGUAGCGAAAUUCCUUGUCGGGUAAGUUCCGACCCGCACGAAAGGCGUAAUGAUUUGGAUACUGUCUCGGAGAGGGGCUCGGUGAAAUAGACUUGUCUGUGAAAAUGCGGACUACCUGCACCAGGACAGAAAGACCCUAUGAAGCUUUACUGUAACUUGAAAUUGAAAUUGGACUUUAUUCGCGCAGUAUAGGUGGGAGGCGUUGAUUGUAAUCUUGCGGGAUUAUUGGAGCCAUCAGUGAGAUACCACCCUUGUAAUGUUAGAUUUCUAACUUUGAAUCAUUAUCUGGUCAAAGAACAGUUUCAGGCGGGCAGUUUGACUGGGGCGGUCGCCUCCUAAACGGUAACGGAGGCGUACAAAGGUUUCCUCUGAACGGUUAGAAAUCGUAUCUAGAGUGUAAAGGCAUAAGGAAGCUUGACUGUGAGACCUACAAGUCGAGCAGGGACGAAAGUCGGUCUUAGUGAUCUGACGGUACUGAGUGGAAAGGCCGUCACUCAACGGAUAAAAGUUACUCUAGGAUAACAGGCUGAUCUCCCCCAAGAGUUCACAUCGACGGGGAGGUUUGGCACCUCGAUGUCGGCUCAUCGCAUCCUGGGGCGGUAGUACGUCCCAAGGGUUGGGCUGUUCGCCCAUGAAAGCGGUACGCGAGCUGGGUUCAGAACGUCGUGAGACAGUUCGGUCCAUAUCCGGUGUAGGCGUUAGAAUAUUGAGAGGAGCCUUCUUUAGUACGAGAGGACCGAGAAGGACAUACCUCUGGUGUACCAGUUAUCGUGCCAACGGUAAACGCUGGGUAGCUAUGUAUGGAGUGGAUAACCGCUGAAAGCAUCUAAGUGGGAAGCCCACCUCAAGAUAAGUAUUCUCA
This 1242-nucleotide ribosomal RNA is filed under the name metagenome. RNAcentral's name for it is "bacterial LSU rRNA". It matches the Rfam family "Bacterial large subunit ribosomal RNA", at positions 1564 to 2816 of the family's 2925-position model. The record is from RNAcentral.